Molecule: long non-coding RNA, 1079 nt
Filed under: Mus musculus (house mouse)
Lineage: Eukaryota; Metazoa; Chordata; Mammalia; Rodentia; Muridae
Description: predicted gene, 71569
Source: RNAcentral
UAGUCUCUCAUAGAAACUUCUGGCCUCUGGACACUGUGGGAGCAACUUUUCCUUUAUUAGACUGUCUCCUCUUUAACUGUACCUAGAAGAUACUUUAGCACAGCAAGCAUCUCUUUUAUGCUUACAUUAUGCAGUUAUGCAGACUUGGUGUACGUCCUUCAAGGACAGUCUAAGAAUCUUUGAUUCUAUUUCUGCUGGAUACAUUGUUGCAGAGAUGAAUAUUGCAGCAUGACUGGGAAGCCUGUCCUUCAUUACUUCAAUUGAAGAAGAAGAAUGGAGUCCAUCCGGUGGCUCCUGGCAGCAGCUGGAGUAGAGUUUGAGGAAGAACUUUUUGAAACCCAUGAAGAGUUUGAGAAGUUAAUCCAAGGUGGAACCCUGAUAAGAGAAGGAGAUGAACCUUGAAUACAUCCUCCACCGAGCUACAACAAGAUUCUUCCCCGUUUAUGAGAAGGCCCUGAGAGACCACGGGCAAGACUUUCUUGUGGGCAAUCGGCUGAGCUUGGCUGAUGUCCAGCUCCUUGAAGUCAUCUUAAUGGCUGAAGAAUGCAAAGCCAGUGUUCUCUCGGGUUUCCCUCUGCUACAGGACUUCAAGGUGAGAACCAGCCAAAUUCCUACAAUUAACAGCUUCCUCCAACCUGGAAGCCAGAGGAAGCCUCCUUUGGAGGAGCGAUCCAUUGGGACUGCAAAGGACAUAUUCAAAUUUGAAUGAGGACUGUUUCUUAAAAACAUGAGCAAUAUAGUAGCUGAGUAUUAACAGCUACAGAGGCUGGAGUUACUCAGUAAGUAUACUGAGUAACUUGACACUGCAUUCAUAAAAAGACACUCACUAAGUAUAUGGCCAGAGAAAUAUCCUGAAGUUAGUAAUAAAUGUUAGGAAUCUUAGUAUGUUAGCAAUGUUAGAAUGUUAGUAAUGGAAAUAUUAAAUGUGUAAGAGAAAAACUACUAGAAGCUUAUCAAUAAACUACAAGAACCAACUCUUGUUUGAAGUAAGACAGGCUACCAAGACAGAAUUCAGAAAAUCCAAGGAGCCCUCGGCCUUCUGUAUGAUCCUAGAAUAAACUUGUAUGUAGCAAGUGAAA